UAGAGUUUGGAUCAUGGCUCAGAUUGAACGCUGGCGGCAGGCCUAACACAUGCAAGUCGAGCGGAAACGAUGGAAGCUUGCUUCCAGGCGUCGAGCGGCGGACGGGUGAGUAACGCAUGGGAAUCUGCCCGAUAGUGGGGGAUAACCUGGGGAAACCCAGGCUAAUACCGCAUACGUCCUACGGGAGAAAGCAGGGGAUCUUCGGACCUUGCGCUAUCGGAUGAGCCCAUGUCGGAUUAGCUUGUUGGUGAGGUAAUGGCUCACCAAGGCGACGAUCCGUAGCUGGUCUGAGAGGAUGAUCAGCCACAUCGGGACUGAGACACGGCCCGAACUCCUACGGGAGGCAGCAGUGGGGAAUAUUGGACAAUGGGCGAAAGCCUGAUCCAGCCAUGCCGCGUGUGUGAAGAAGGCCCUCGGGUUGUAAAGCACUUUCAGUGGGGAAGAAAGCCUUGGGAUUAAUACUCCCGAGGAAGGACAUCA
RNAcentral lists this ribosomal RNA (480 nucleotides) under Halomonas sp. M2-C4. RNAcentral's name for it is "bacterial SSU rRNA". It matches the Rfam family "Bacterial small subunit ribosomal RNA", at positions 1 to 477 of the family's 1533-position model. The record is from RNAcentral. Lineage: Bacteria; Pseudomonadati; Pseudomonadota; Gammaproteobacteria; Oceanospirillales; Halomonadaceae.